UGGGCGGAGCCCGAGGCUGGAGUUGGGGGUGGGCGGGUUACCGGGAAGGUGCUCGGUAGCCCCGGGCUUGCACGUGGAGGUGGAGUGCAGACGCUCCCCAAAGCCGGGAAGGUCGAAGGUUUUGCCUCCCACUCGAGAGAAAUCAAAGGAUGUGCCGGAUUUCCAAUAAAUAGCACCUUUGGAUGUAGAAGAGGAAUGGCUCCCUCACCCUGCUACGCACACCCCCACGCCACCCCACAGCUCUGACACGGCUUUUCUUCGGCAGCCGCACACUGUUACCAUUCCCGGCUUGUGUGGGAGAAGACUGUUGUGCGCCUGUGUCUGUCCGCCUGGGCAGCUCCAGCCCCUGGUUAAUAAAAAAGGUACAGAUGGUUAAGACACGAAUGUGUUACGUCAGGCUCGGUUUUUAAAAGUCCCUUGCUCCCUACAUCGUUUGUGUCUCCUGAGACAGACUAUUCAGAGGAUCGAUUUGAGUCUAAUGGCAGUCAUGAGAACGAGGGACCCAUGCCGGGACUGUCAGUAUAUCGCAAUGCUGUACUUAUAACAAAAAGUUUAUCUUUUAACAUUUUUUAACACAUAAAAAAUGAAACUAUCA
Long non-coding RNA from Myotis brandtii (Brandt's bat), 595 nucleotides. RefSeq lists it as uncharacterized. Lineage: Eukaryota; Metazoa; Chordata; Mammalia; Chiroptera; Vespertilionidae. The record is from RefSeq and is a predicted model, not a curated record. The transcript is spliced from 2 exons.